CUCUGAAGAUGAGAUAGUCGGGCUUGAUUGGGAACAAUACAUGGUUUAUGUGCUCGUUCUGGGUAAAUAGAGUUUCUAGCAUUUAUGUUAGUUACUUGUUCCCCGGAUAGUUUAGUUACGUAGCCAAUUGUGGAACUUUCUUGCUAAAAUUUUUAAGAAUACUAUUUGGGUUAAACCAAUUAGUUCUUAUCAAUUAUAACGAUUAUCAAUUAACAAUCAAUUCAGAACUGGCACGGACUUGGGGAAUCCGACUGUCUAAUUAAAACAAAGCAUUGUGAUGGCCCUAGCGGGUGUUGACACAAUGUGAUUUCUGCCCAGUGCUCUGAAUGUCAAAGUGAAGAAAUUCAAGUAAGCGCGGGUCAACGGCGGGAGUAACUAUGACUCUCUUAAGGUAGCCAAAUGCCUCGUCAUCUAAUUAGUGACGCGCAUGAAUGGAUUAACGAGAUUCCUACUGUCCCUAUCUACUAUCUAGCGAAACCACAGCCAAGGGAACGGGCUUGGAAUAAUUAGCGGGGAAAGAAGACCCUUUUGAGCUUGACUCUAAUCUGGCAGUGUAAGGAGACAUAAGAGGUGUAGAAUAAGUGGGAGAUAUUAGACCUCGGUUUGGUAUCGUCAAUGAAAUACCACUACUCUUAUUGUUUCCUUACUUACUUGAUUAAAUGGAACGUGUAUCAUUUCCUAGCCAUUAUACGGAUAUAUUUAUUAUAUCUUAUGGUAUUGGGUUUUGAUGCAAGCUUCUUGAUCAAAGUAUCACGAGUUUGUUAUAUAAUCGCAAACAAAUUCUUUAAUAAAACGAUGCAUUUAUGUAUUUUUGAUUUGAAAAUUUGGUAUAACUCCAAUUACUCAGGUAUGAUCCAAUUCAAGGACAUUGCCAGGUAGGGAGUUUGACUGGGGCGGUACAUCUCUCAAAUAAUAACGGAGGUGUCCCAAGGCCAGCUCAGUGCGGACAGAAACCACACAUAGAGCAAAAGGGCAAAUGCUGACUUGAUCUCGGUGUUCAGUACACACAGGGACAGCAAAAGCUCGGCCUAUCGAUCCUUUUGGUUUAAAGAGUUUUUAACAAGAGGUGUCAGAAAAGUUACCAUAGGGAUAACUGGCUUGUGGCGGCCAAGCGUUCAUAGCGACGUCGCUUUUUGAUCCUUCGAUGUCGGCUCUUCCUAUCAUUGUGAAGCAAAAUUCACCAAGCGUUGGAUUGUUCACCCAUGCAAGGGAACGUGAGCUGGGUUUAGACCGUCGUGAGACAGGUUAGUUUUACCCUACUAAUGACAAAACGUUGUUGCGACAGCAUUCCUGCGUAGUACGAGAGGAACCGCAGGUACGGACCAAUGGCACAAUACUUGUUCGAGCGAACAGUGGUAUGACGCUACGUCCGUUGGAUUAUGCCUGAACGCCUCUAAGGUCGUAUCCGUGCUGGACUGCAAUGAUAAAUAAGGGGCAAUUUGCAUUGU
RNAcentral lists this ribosomal RNA (1448 nucleotides) under Drosophila sechellia. RNAcentral's name for it is "eukaryotic LSU rRNA". It matches the Rfam family "Eukaryotic large subunit ribosomal RNA", at positions 1952 to 3185 of the family's 3401-position model. Lineage: Eukaryota; Metazoa; Arthropoda; Insecta; Diptera; Drosophilidae. The record is from RNAcentral.